CACGCAGUAAACUAUGUUCACUCGCUGUUUGCGAUAUACAGUAAGCGGCUUAGCGAAAGCAUUAAGUGAACCACCUGGGGAGUACGAUCGCAAGGUUGAAACUCAAAGGAAUUGACGGGGGCCCGCACAAGCGGAGGAACAUGUGGUUUAAUUCGAUGAUACGCGAGGAACCUUACCUGGGCUUAAAUGCAGAGUGCAUGCGGUGGAAACACCCUUCCCUUCGGGGCUUUCUGCAAGGUGC
Molecule: ribosomal RNA, 241 nt
Filed under: uncultured Bacteroidota bacterium
Lineage: Bacteria; Pseudomonadati; Bacteroidota
Description: uncultured Bacteroidetes bacterium partial 16S ribosomal RNA
Rfam family: Bacterial small subunit ribosomal RNA
Source: RNAcentral